This 108-nucleotide ribosomal RNA is filed under the name Triticum aestivum (bread wheat). Its description in RNAcentral is "partial small subunit ribosomal RNA". Lineage: Eukaryota; Viridiplantae; Streptophyta; Magnoliopsida; Poales; Poaceae. The record is from RNAcentral.
CUGAAAGGACUAUGCUAUGUCAAGGGGACCACUGCCCUCCACAAAGUACAUCUUGUGCCUAUGGGCCGCUAUAACUAUCCAAGAAGACACUCGAAAAAGGAAGGAUAA